GUUUACAAAUUUUAAAAAAAUUUGAAAACCAUUUGAUACUUGAUUUCAUUAAUUCAAAUUAAUAAAUAAUUAUAAAAAUAUUUUAUACGUUGAUUUGAAUUAAUGAAAAGAAGUAUCAAAUGAUUUUCAAAUUUUUAAAAAUUUACAGAUU
RNAcentral lists this microRNA precursor (151 nucleotides) under Cajanus cajan (pigeon pea). RNAcentral describes it as "miRNA gene-KK1_033310". The record is from RNAcentral. Lineage: Eukaryota; Viridiplantae; Streptophyta; Magnoliopsida; Fabales; Fabaceae.